UACGGGGGGGGUAAGCGUUGUUCGGAAUUACUGGGCGUAAAGGGCUCGUAGGCGGCCAACUAAGUCAGACGUGAAAUCCCUCAGCUUAACUGGGGAACUGCGUCUGAUACUGGAUGGCUUGGAUUCGGGAGAGGAAUGCGGAAUUCCAGGUGUAGCGGUGAAAUGCGUAGAUAUCGGAAGGAACAUCAGUGGCGAAAGCGACUUCUUGGACCAAUACUGACGCUCAAGUGCGAAAGCGUGGGGAGCAAACAGG
RNAcentral lists this ribosomal RNA (253 nucleotides) under uncultured bacterium. RNAcentral describes it as "partial 16S ribosomal RNA". It matches the Rfam family "Bacterial small subunit ribosomal RNA", at positions 524 to 776 of the family's 1533-position model. The record is from RNAcentral.